UUGGCUCAGGAUGAACGCUGGCGGCAUGCCUAACACAUGCAAGUCGAACGAAGGUCCUGGUUCGCUGGGGCUUUAGUGGCGCACGGGUGAGUAACGCGUGGGAACCUGCCCUUUUGUUCGGACUAACGUUGGGAAACUGACGCUAAUACCGGAUACGCCCUACGGGGGAAAGAUUUAUCGCAGAAGGAGGGGCCCGCGUCAGAUUAGCUAGUUGGUGGGGUAAUGGCCUACCAAGGCGAUGAUCUGUAGCUGGUCUGAGAGGAUGAUCAGCCACACUGGGACUGAGACACGGCCCAGACUCCUACGGGAGGCAGCAGUGGGGAAUA
RNAcentral lists this ribosomal RNA (326 nucleotides) under uncultured rumen bacterium. RNAcentral's name for it is "bacterial SSU rRNA". It matches the Rfam family "Bacterial small subunit ribosomal RNA", at positions 19 to 363 of the family's 1533-position model. The record is from RNAcentral.